Molecule: non-coding RNA, 1028 nt
Organism: Paramuricea clavata
Lineage: Eukaryota; Metazoa; Cnidaria; Anthozoa; Malacalcyonacea; Plexauridae
Source: the annotation of a GenBank genome assembly
CUUCGCAAGGCUUUAUUUUCUGUAUUUUACAACAUUUCGCAACCAAAUUUUGCAAUUUUACUAAUUUUAAUAAGUUCUUUACGGGAAUUUACUUUUUUUUCCUAAAUCAAAAAUUAGUCUAACAUGCAAGUUGUAUAUUAACUUAGUUUGAUUCCAGCAGCAGCAACAAGUAAUUCAUUCAAACAAUCUUUCAUGGUCAGGAAAAAAUGUUCGUGACACGAUUCAGCCUAGCACAGAAUAAAGAUAUGUGCUGGCUAGCCUCAUAUGAACAUCUCCUAGCAUCAUUAUUUCUUUGUUGCUACCGAAUUCACAACAUUCAAAAACAGAGGGCUAGUUACCAUUGUCCUAGUUUACAGAAGCAUGAAAUGAAACGAUAAUUGCUAAGCAAUACAAUCGUAGACGUGGUCUUUCACUCAUCUAGAUAUUUUGAACGUUACCUUUGUGCUACUCUUGUGCAACAGAUGGUGAUCAACAUCGUUUAAGCUCGGAUGAAACGAGGAUGAGAGUGCAUGAGAGUUGGUAGUCACGCGACCUUAAUGGACCUUUCCCCUUAUAACUAAAAUUUCGAUCUGGACAAAAAUUUCAUCACAGCUUGAAAGAGCAUCACAAAAUUAGUAAUAUUCUAAAGUUUUGUUGCAAAAUCUUGUAAAAUGCGGAUAAUAUAGCCUUGCGAAGUUUGCUGUUUUUCAGUCAUUUUGUAUUACAAACGGGAAAUUGACAUCCGAUUCGGGUGUUGGGGCUGCAAUUUCCCGUUUGUAAUGCAAAAUGACUGAAAAUUGCAAACUUCGCAAGGCUCUAUUUUCCUCAUUUUACAACAUUUCGCAACGAAACUUUGGAAUAUUACUAAUUUUGUGAUGCUCUUUCAAGCUGUGAUGAAAUAUUUGUCUAGACUUGUCUAGAUCAAAAUUUUGGUUAUAAAGGGAAAGGUCUAUUGGUUCGCUGUUUUCCCAACACUACCAUGUAUUCUCAGCCUCGUACCCAGGCGCAAAUAACGUACUAAAAAUAGCAACACUACAGUGUUUUUAUCC